This 73-nucleotide transfer RNA is filed under the name Oryctes borbonicus. It matches the Rfam family "tRNA". From Rfam's summary of the family: Transfer RNA (tRNA) molecules are approximately 80 nucleotides in length. Their secondary structure includes four short double-helical elements and three loops (D, anti-codon, and T loops). Lineage: Eukaryota; Metazoa; Arthropoda; Insecta; Coleoptera; Scarabaeidae. The record is from Rfam by way of RNAcentral.
GAUUCCGUAGCGCUGUGGUUAGCGUACCCGCCCGGAGAGCGGGAGGCCGUAAGUUCAACUCCUACCGGUAUCU